RNAcentral lists this long non-coding RNA (1036 nucleotides) under Elaeis guineensis (African oil palm). Its description in RNAcentral is "long non-coding RNA (EGUI_LNC076196)". Lineage: Eukaryota; Viridiplantae; Streptophyta; Magnoliopsida; Arecales; Arecaceae. The record is from RNAcentral.
UUUAAGUCCAAUUAAUUUAGAUCUAAUCUGAAAUUAAUUAGUACUUAAAUCCAAUCUUUCAUAUGUUCCAUGAAUCAUAGAUCAGAAACUGUUCAUCUCUGAGAUCGAAUCUGAACCUCAUGUGUAGUGCUAGCUAGAUAUAGUCAACUCUUCAAUCCCGUUUGACCCAUAACUUAAUUCUCAAUCAAGUUAGCUUAUAUGUUUAAUCAAGUCAAGUACUUUCAAAUUGGACAUAUAAACAUAGGUCACUUUUUUCAUACUUUGUCUAACUUGUGUACGUGACUCCAUAAGUUCAAACACUAAGUCGGUAGCACAGAAAUCAAUUCCUGCACUAAUCGAGAUACCAUCUAGCAAUGGUUCCUGACGUCCAAAUAGGUCAAAUUAUCGCAAAGGAAUAUUCCAGAAUCUAUACACAUGGUUAUCGUGUAAUUCAUCCUUUUGACCCUGGAUGCUUUAGGAUGGUCUCAGAUUAAUUGUCAACCGAGAUUGCUUUAUCUAUAUUGUAUUUCAACCUCUCAAAUUCAUCUCAUGGAUUAUCUUGGUCAAGACUUUACUAAAUUGAAAUACAGCGAUACAUCAACUCCAAUAAUCCGAAGGGAUCAAUCCUAUCUUGAUCCGCACACAGACUUCGUAAGUAUUCGACUGUACCCAGUAGCCUUCUGUUACUGCAUUAAAAAUCCAGAUAGUCCGGCAUCAAAGCACAGUGAGUUGCUUGCAAGUCACUAUGGUAAUCUCAGGUCUGAAGGACACUUAUAUCAAUGUGUUUCGCAAGCAGCUCUUGACAGCAGAGCGCUCAGCAAGUGAGUCACUUGUUCAGUGACGAUGUAAUCUUAUAUUUCAUCUGUAUGCCAUACCAGUAUCACUAUACUCUUUGAUUAAGAGGACAACCCAUAUGGCACAUAAUGACCUCCACUCGAUAAACAUCAUUGUCCCGUAAUAAUGUAUCAUUUGGUCGCGAUCAUGUUUAAGAUCUAUACAAUAAGUCUUCUCUUUAUCAUACACUAGCAUAGUUCUAGAGACUUCAUCACAGUACAAG